CUACGGGAGGCAGCAGUAGGGAAUCUUCGGCAAUGGACGGAAGUCUGACCGAGCAACGCCGCGUGAGUGAAGAAGGUUUUCGGAUCGUAAAGCUCUGUUGUAAGAGAAGAACGAGUGUGAGAGUGGAAAGUUCACACUGUGACGGUAUCUUACCAGAAAGGGACGGCUAACUACGUGCCAGCAGCCGCGGUAAUACGUAGGUCCCGAGCGUUGUCCGGAGUUAUUGGGCGUAAAGCGAGCGCAGGCGGUUAGAUAAGUCUGAAGUUAAAGGCUGUGGCUUAACCAUAGUACGCUUUGGAAACUGUUUAGCUUGAGUGCAGAAGGGGAGAGUGGAAUUCCAUGUGUAGCGGUGAAAUGCGUAGAUAUAUGGAGGAACACCGGUGGCGAAAGCGGCUCUCUGGUCUGUAACUGACGCUGAGGCUCGAAAGCGUGGGGAGCAAACAGGAUUAGAUACCCUUGUAGUC
RNAcentral lists this ribosomal RNA (464 nucleotides) under uncultured bacterium. RNAcentral describes it as "partial 16S ribosomal RNA". It matches the Rfam family "Bacterial small subunit ribosomal RNA", at positions 339 to 795 of the family's 1533-position model. The record is from RNAcentral.